GGGCAGUGUGGUGUACAUGAGGAGAGACCAGAAGUUGUUAUCCGGAGAAGCUGAACUGAAGGUGCUCUGGACUCCAGGACACUGGUCCCCGCGGAAAGUGACAGGGAGGGGUCAGACACACUCCGGAUGGUGGUCACUCUGUCAGCCUGGAACCUGGAGUGACGAGUUACAGGAGAGCUCCGAACCAAUCCAAGGUGAUCAUUUGGAAUGAGCAAGCAAACAAGAAACUUUCCUCAUGUCAAGUCACUGAGAGCUCGUUGCCAGAACUGGGAGAGGUGGCUCAAUGGUCCUCACUCUCGGAGAGCGGUGGUGAGGGAUGGAAGGCAGUUACCUCGCAUUGUACAGAUAGGCACAGGAAAUAGGUAACUGGAAAGAAGUAUGAUUUACGUAAUGAUGGGUCUUAAUAUUAAUUUAUUGAGUGCUAUUGAGCCCGAAGACCAACCUCCCUGCCUCCAACUUUGGGUGGGAGUGUUUUGAAUCCCACCUUUGACCUCUCAUGGAGCAGCUGUCUCUGUUGCUGUGUAGCAUCUCUGGGGUUGGAACACUUGCCACCCCUUAUGCACCACUUCACACGAGCUGUUUUGGUUUUUCUUUUUAAGUUUAUUUAUUUAUUUUGAAAGAGGACAUGCACGCAGGCACAUGCGUGCUCCAGCAGGGGAGGG
This is a long non-coding RNA of Leopardus geoffroyi (Geoffroy's cat), 662 nucleotides long. RefSeq lists it as uncharacterized. Lineage: Eukaryota; Metazoa; Chordata; Mammalia; Carnivora; Felidae. The record is from RefSeq and is a predicted model, not a curated record. The transcript is spliced from 4 exons.